CAGCAGGCACAUACUUGGCGGUCGCCCAGAACUGCGCGCAGAUCGACGCCGUGUCUAGUGCUGUUUUUAAACGUGACUCAACGUAACCUAUCAUGAAGCUGAAAGCCAUUCUGCUUGCCGUGGCUGUUGCCAUCCUAUGGACGUCAGCAAGUGCAGCCGGGUCGGUGGAAUCGGUGAAGGAGCCGCAAGCAAGAGCAGGUUCAGAAGACGCUGCCAACUCAGGUGGAGUGCCGCCUCUGCGCCUUGAAGGAAGAAUUGCUGAAGUUUGUGUUUUCCAGAUAUGUGGGUAGUCAUCAGCGGGGACCCCAUAACACUGGCCCCAGAAAAGCGGUGCUCGUGGCGUGUUCCCUGACAAUGCUUGAUAAAUGAGGAAAAUAAAGCGUUUUAUGGAAGA
This 394-nucleotide long non-coding RNA is filed under the name Dermacentor andersoni. RNAcentral describes it as "uncharacterized LOC126524065". The record is from RNAcentral. Lineage: Eukaryota; Metazoa; Arthropoda; Arachnida; Ixodida; Ixodidae.